GUGGGAGCAUCUAAGGUGUCUCCGUUGCAGAACCACACUUUUGGGUGAUGAAGAGGCUAAAGACAAGGGCAACAUAUUCUCUACUAAACUGAAGGAAACAGAAUAAUCAAGAUGGUUGAGGCAGUUGUCUCCUUUACAGUUGAAAGGCUCUACGAACUUCUGAUUGAAGAGGUCAGAUUGUUAAAUGGGGUGAGUGACAAAGUCAGGGACAUGCAAAAUGAACUAAUGAGGAUGCAAUGCUUCUUAAGCGAUGCUGAGAGAAGGCAGGAUGAGAGUGAGAGUAUUAAGAAUUUGAUUUCAGAGAUCAGAAAAUUAGCUUAUGAUGCAGAGGAUGUGAUUGAAAUUUAUGCCGUCAAAGUUGCAUUUGACAUAAGUAUUGGAACUAAAAAUCCACUCUCCAAAGCUAAACAUCUUCGCAAAGCCGGAUCUGAUCUCAUGACAAUAAAUUCUCGAAUAAUUGACCUCACAAGAAGUUUACAAACUUAUGGUUUGACUGCAACAAGAGUCAAUGAAGAGAAUCGCUUUGCAUUUGAGACGCAACGACAAUUGAGAUGGUCUUAUUCUCAUAUAGUUGAAGAGUUCAUUGUUGGCUUAGAUGAAGACAUAAACAAAGUGGUGAAAUGGCUAGUAAAUGAAAAUCAGCAUUGUCGAGUUGUUUAUAUUUGUGGAAUGGGUGGUCUUGGUAAAACUACUCUUGCCAAAAGCAUUUAUCAUUACAAUGAUAUUAGGCGAAACUUUGAUGCUUUUGCUUGGGCCUAUAUAUCCCAACAAUGCAAGAAAAGAGAUGUCUGGGAGGGAAUUUUACUGAAGCUUACUUCCCCUUCCAAAGAGGAAAGGGAUGAGAUUUUGAAAUUGAAAGAUGAUGAAUUGGCAAGGAAAUUAUUUAAAGUCCAACAAGAUAAAAAAUGUUUAAUCAUCCUGGAUGACAUAUGGAGCAAUGAAGAUUGGGACAUUCUAAGUCCAGCUUUUCCAUCAGAAAAUACAAGGAGUAAGAUUGUGUUUACAUCCCGCAACAAAGACAUUUUGCGUGUAGAUCCUAAUGGCUUGCUUCACGAACCUAGAUGCUUAAAUGCAAAGGAUAGUUGGGCAUUGUUUCACAAGAAAGCUUUUCCAAGACAAUAUAAUUCAGAAUCCACAACUUUCGAUGAGUUUAAAAGAUUAGUGAAAGAAAUGGUUACCAAGUGUGCUGGUCUGCCAUUGGCUAUCGUCGUUCUUGGAGGGCUUUUGGCUACAAAAGAGACAGUCAAUGAGUGGGAAACAAUACAUAGGUACCUAAGUUCAUACCUAAUAGGAGGAGAGGUACAUGAAAGGCGAAGAUUAGCUGAAGUAUUGGAUUUAAGUUACCAGGACUUGCCUGUUCAACUGAAACCAUGUUUUCUCUAUUUAAGUCAAUUCCCUGAAGACUCUGAGAUACCAAGAACUAAACUAAUUCAGUUAUGGGUAGCAGAAGGUGUUGUUUCAUCUCGAUAUGAGAUUGAACGAAAUGAGACAAUGGAGGAUGUUGCUGAACGCUACUUAAGUAACUUAAUUAGCCGCUGCAUGGUUCAAGUUGGUCAGAUGGGGUCUACUGGUAGAAUUAAAACCUGUCGGCUCCAUGAUUUAAUGCGUGAUCUGUGUUUGUCAAAGGCCAAAAAAGAAAAUUUUCUCUACAUUAUUGGUGGAUCACAACAAAAUGUUACCACUGAUGUUGCUUCUUUGUCUAAUGUAUCAGAUGCAAGGCAAAUUGAUGUAGUUCGUAGGCUUGCUGUUUUCUUGGAUCAACGUGUUGAACAAUUGAUUCCACAGGACAAACAAGUGAAAGAACACCUCAGGUCCCUUGUCUUUUUUCACGACAAGAAAUGUAGGAUGGAAAAUUGGGACCUUGUCAAAGGUAUUUUUGUGAGGUUCAAAUUACUUAGACUUCUAGACCUUGAAGGAAUUAAGGGGCUGAAGGGACAGUCAUUGCCUAAAGAAGUGGGGGAUCUUUUAUGGUUGAAGUUUCUUAGUCUAAAAAGGACUCGUAUACAAAUACUGCCAUCUUCCUUGGGCAAUUUGGAGAAUUUGCAAUUCCUGAAUCUGCAAACUGUAAACAAAGUGAGCUGGGAUUCAACUGUGGAAAUUCCAAAUGUAAUAUGGAAGUUGAAACGGUUGAGACAUCUAUAUCUUCCCAAUUGGUGUGGGAAUGUUGCUAACAACCUGCAACUGGAAAAUCUGAUCAAUUUACAGACAUUAGUGAAUUUUCCUGCCAGCAAAUGUGAUGUGAAAGAUCUAUUGAAGUUGAAAAAUCUCAGAAAAUUAGUAUUGAAUGACCCAAGACAUUUUGAGAAGUUUAGUGAAUGUUUCAGUCCCCCUAAUAAAAGGUUGGACCGCCUUCUAUCCUUGUCUUUAAAGACUGACAUGCUUUCCUUCCCUGAUAAUGUAGUUGAUCUUGAAAAAUUGGUGCUUGGCUGCCCUUCCCUCCAUAAACUGCAGAUAGAAGGGCGAAUGGAAAGGUUGCCAGAAGCUUCACUGUUUCCGACACAGCUUUCAAAGUUGACUUUAUGGGGUUGUAGACUUGUGCAAGAUCCAAUGGCAACAUUAGAGAAGCUUCCUAACUUGAAGUUUCUAAAUGGGUGGGAUAUGUUUAUUGGAAAGAAAAUGGUAUGCUCUCAAAAUGGUUUUCCUCUAUUGAAGGUUCUAGUACUUCGUGGCUUGUCUAAUUUAGAUGAGUGGGCAAUAGAGAAUAAAGCCAUGCCUAGUCUUCACCGAUUGAGCAUAUCUGAUUGCAACAAUUUAAAGAGGGUUCCUGAUGGACUUAGAUUUAUUGCUAGUCUUCGGGAGCUAGAAAUCAGAUGGAUGCCAAAAUCAUUCAAGACCAGGCUUGGAACUACUGGAGAGGAUUAUCACAAAGUCCAACACGUGCCAUCUAUUGUAUUUUUGAACUAAGGAUGUAAGUUGAAAAGAUUAACUACCACAUUGAACUCACUUUCUCAAAAUUCAUUGUUAUUAGCUUUCCAUUGUGAACAAAUAGGUGUUUUCCUUUACUCUUGUGCUUUCGAAGCUGAAGUUGUAAACCUGUAAAGCCUGAACUUUUAAAGGACGUACCUUUGUUUGUACCUGGUAUUUGUUUGCACGGUGCCUUGAUGGAUUCAGUUGUAUUUAUUUGUUGACUUUAUAUUUGCAAUAUUUUUUGUUGAAUACUUUUGAGUGAAUUUCGGAACUUCUAACUCCUAGUGAGAAAAGUUUGGUGGUGGUUGUAUUAUUACAAACUUGUAACAAACUAACAACAAUGAUUUGUGUUUUCAUAUUGUAUUUAAUAAUUACGAUUUGUUCACACAGUACA
Molecule: RNA transcript, 3301 nt
Organism: Cajanus cajan (pigeon pea)
Lineage: Eukaryota; Viridiplantae; Streptophyta; Magnoliopsida; Fabales; Fabaceae
Gene name: putative disease resistance protein At1g50180
Source: RefSeq, a predicted model, not a curated record